RNAcentral lists this long non-coding RNA (312 nucleotides) under Malus domestica (apple). RNAcentral describes it as "long non-coding RNA (MDOM_LNC010834)". Lineage: Eukaryota; Viridiplantae; Streptophyta; Magnoliopsida; Rosales; Rosaceae. The record is from RNAcentral.
UGUAAAGUUGAUAGGAGCAUAUGCUCCCAAACAACUUUGAGUGGAGUCGUUCGAAAAGAAGUUUCUAUGGCCCCCUUGCUCAUUUAACACUGCAUCCGGGUGCCGAUGGAGAUACAGCGACCCUUGCUCACCUAUCACUGUGCUCGGGCCACACAGCGCACCACUUACGGGUGACGCCCUAGCUUUAGCGCGAUUUCGUUCUGGAUUCAUUUUCAUAAGGAUUCGACGUAACUGUGGAGUGCCGGCUGUCGACUACCUGACGCCAUCCCCCUCCUCCUUUACCCGGGCUUGGGACCGGCAAUGUAAGAUAAA